AAACUUUCAACAACGGAUCGUCUUGGCUCUGGCAUCGAUGAAGAACGCAGCGAAAUGCGAUAAGUAAUGUGAAUUGCAGAAUCCAGUGAAUCAUCGAAUCUUUGAACGCACAUUGCGCCCGCCAGCAUUCUGGCGGGCAUGCCUGUUCGAGCGUCAUUUC
Molecule: ribosomal RNA, 160 nt
Filed under: Beauveria bassiana
Lineage: Eukaryota; Fungi; Ascomycota; Sordariomycetes; Hypocreales; Cordycipitaceae
Description: 5.8S rRNA
Rfam family: 5.8S ribosomal RNA
About the family: 5.8S ribosomal RNA (5.8S rRNA) is a component of the large subunit of the eukaryotic ribosome. It is transcribed by RNA polymerase I as part of the 45S precursor that also contains 18S and 28S rRNA.
Source: RNAcentral